RNAcentral lists this long non-coding RNA (332 nucleotides) under Olea europaea (common olive). Its description in RNAcentral is "long non-coding RNA (OEUR_LNC009667)". Lineage: Eukaryota; Viridiplantae; Streptophyta; Magnoliopsida; Lamiales; Oleaceae. The record is from RNAcentral.
AAGCUGAUAGUCUUUUUACAGUAUAACCAUUUAACCUCAUAACAAUUUUACGUAUUCUGUUUCUCUUUGUCUUGGGUAUACGAUCGUACCCGUGUGGCAUUACCUCGCGUUUAAAGAACCCUUAACAAAGGAUGAUAAGUAAGACACCUUAAAAAAUGAUGAUAAGUAAGACACCUUAAAAAAUGGUUUGACUGUCAUGAUGUAAAGUUUCAUGGUUUUGUGAUUGCCAUUUGCUGCAAAAAUUUGCUGUUCGAGUUUAGGAAGAAGCGACUUGACAUUAUUUGGGCCGUGUUUGGUGGGGCUUUUGAAAAGCUAAAGACUAUUUUUGUGAC